UAGGGUUUAGUGACUAGAAUUUAGGGUUUAGUAUUUAGAAGGUGAGGGGGUAUGGUUGGGGUCAAUAUUAACUUCUUUCAUGCAAUCAUAGACAUUUAUAGUUUCACUAAUAUGUACUAUGUUAUUUAUUUUGUUCCACUCUAUUUGGGAUUUGUGUUUAUAUUUGGGUUUAUGGUUUAUAUUUGAGUUAGGAUUUAGUGAUUAAAGUUUAGUGUUUAGUAUUUGGAAAUUUAGGUUUUGUGUUUAUAUUUGAGUUUAGGGUUUAUACACUUUUUAUUUUUUUUAAUUUUACGUUUCUAUCCACUCAUUCUACUGCAUAUAGUAAAUAAAUAUGUUGUAAAUAAAUUUGUGACAUGAGUUCUUUUACGUGAUGUGUUUGUAAAUAAUAGUAAUUCAUUAUUGACCAAGAAUAAAAAUUUCUUGGGUGGAUUAAAUUGGUACGUGACUGCAAGUGUUUCUAUUAAAUAAAUAGUCUUAAUUUAAU
RNAcentral lists this long non-coding RNA (484 nucleotides) under Brassica napus (rape). Its description in RNAcentral is "long non-coding RNA (BNAP_LNC014222)". Lineage: Eukaryota; Viridiplantae; Streptophyta; Magnoliopsida; Brassicales; Brassicaceae. The record is from RNAcentral.